This 155-nucleotide ribosomal RNA is filed under the name Klebsiella oxytoca. RNAcentral's name for it is "partial 16S ribosomal RNA". It matches the Rfam family "Bacterial small subunit ribosomal RNA", at positions 1 to 151 of the family's 1533-position model. The record is from RNAcentral. Lineage: Bacteria; Pseudomonadati; Pseudomonadota; Gammaproteobacteria; Enterobacterales; Enterobacteriaceae. RNAcentral also lists the same sequence under 1 other name.
AAAUUGAAGAGUUUGAUCAUGGCUCAGAUUGAACGCUGGCGGCAGGCCUAACACAUGCAAGUCGAACGGUAGCACAGAGAGCUUGCUCUCGGGUGACGAGUGGCGGACGGGUGAGUAAUGUCUGGGAAACUGCCCGAUGGAGGGGGAUAACUACU